This 443-nucleotide ribosomal RNA is filed under the name Everettia sp. 1 TSL-2019. Its description in RNAcentral is "partial large subunit ribosomal RNA". Lineage: Eukaryota; Metazoa; Mollusca; Gastropoda; Stylommatophora; Ariophantidae. The record is from RNAcentral.
CAAAAACAUAGUGUUAUGUAAAUUAAUAUAAGAUUUUACCUGCCCAAUGAUAUAUUUUAAUGGCCGCAGUACUUUGACUGUGCUAAGGUAGCAUAAUAAAUUGACUUUUAAUUUAGGUCUGGAAUGAAAGGAUUAAUGAAUAUUUACUGUCUCUAAUAAGUUAUUAUUAAUUUAUAAUAUAAGGUGCAAAUUCCUUAAUAUAAAUUAAAAAGACGAGAAGACCCUAGGAGUUUAUAAAAUUAUUUUGUUGGGGCAACAUUAUAGCAUAUAACCUAUAAUAUAUUAUUUUAUAACAAAUAUUUAUAUAAUGAGUAAACUACCCUAGGGAUAACAGCAUAAUUUAUAUUAAAUGAGUUUGUGACCUCGAUGUUGGACUAGGGACUUUAAAUAUUAAAUAUAUUUAUUGAUUUGUUCUGUUCGAACAUAUUAAACCUACAUGAUCU